AAGUCGUAACAAGGUUUCCGUAGGUGAACCUGCGGAAGGAUCAUUAGUGAAUCUUGGUGGGGGGAUUGUUGAUACUUGGUAUAUAGAAUGGGGUAUUGUACUGUAUUGUACUGUAUUGUACUGUAUUGUACUGUAUUGUACUGUAUUGUACUGUAUUGUACUGUAUUGUACUGUAUUGUACUGUAUUGUACUGUAUUGUACUGUAUUGUACUGUAUUCCUUAUAUAUGUCAAUCUCAUCCACCCAUCCAUAACAACAUUUGCCUUGGGCACUUUUGUCUAUUUAGUCUGACUGAUUGAUUUUAAUUAGUUUAAACAACUUUUAACAAUGGAUCUCUUGGCUCUC
Molecule: unclassified non-coding RNA, 344 nt
Filed under: fungal sp.
Lineage: Eukaryota; Fungi
Description: partial internal transcribed spacer region
Rfam family: Eukaryotic small subunit ribosomal RNA (bases 1-46)
Source: RNAcentral